CGCCUGUUUAUCAAAAACAUCGCCUCUUGCCACACAUAGUAUAAGAGGUCCCGCCUGCCCAGUGAUCAAUUUCAACGGCCGCGGUAUCAUGAUCGUGCAAAGGUAGCGUAAUCACUUGUCUUUUAAAUAAAGACCCGUAUGAAAGGCAAAACGAAAGUUCAACUGUCUCUUUAAUCUAGUCAGUGAAAUUAAUUUUUCCGUGCAGAAGCGGAAAUAACUCUAUAAGACGAGAAGACCCUAUGGAGCUUUAAACAAAAAUUAACCACACUUUAUCUACUGGCCAAAGGGUAAAGAAUAAAAAUGUAUGGCCAUACUUUUAGUUUUCGGUUGGGGCGACCACGGAAGAAAGAUCAUCCUCCGCGAUAGAAAAUCUAGAACAACAGUUCAAAACUUAAAACAUUUGUUAUAGUGACCCACUAAGUGAUCAACGAACCAAGUUACCCUAGGGAUAACAGCGCAAUCCUUUCUAAGAGUUCAUAUCGACGAAUGGGUUUACGACCUCGAUGUUGGAUCAGGACACCCCAAUGGUGCAGCCGCUAUUAAAGGUUCGUUUGUUCAACGAUUAAACUCCUACGUGAUCUGAGUUCAGACCGG
This 594-nucleotide ribosomal RNA is filed under the name Lissotriton vulgaris meridionalis (southern smooth newt). RNAcentral's name for it is "partial large subunit ribosomal RNA". It matches the Rfam family "Bacterial large subunit ribosomal RNA", at positions 1797 to 2619 of the family's 2925-position model. The record is from RNAcentral. Lineage: Eukaryota; Metazoa; Chordata; Amphibia; Caudata; Salamandridae.